Molecule: long non-coding RNA, 1775 nt
Organism: Apis mellifera (honey bee)
Lineage: Eukaryota; Metazoa; Arthropoda; Insecta; Hymenoptera; Apidae
Exons: 3
Source: RefSeq, a predicted model, not a curated record
UGCAAGAGAUGCCGAAUUAAUCGGAGCGUUUUCGUGGAAUAGCUACGCGCGACCAUUCCACGAAAAUAUCAGUUCACGACGUCGUUGUUCGUACGGUGGCGGGAAAAAAUUUGGGGGAAAGGGAGGGAAGGGCGCUUCGUUUGCGGCCCGCGUUCGAACUACGAGCAAAAUGGCGAAAAAUUUCGUGUCUUUCGUUUGGUGAUCAGUGAGAGUUAAUCAAUCGGAAAUUAUUCGUUUAAAAUUUAAAAUAUACAAGUUGUAUAUACACAGUUUUCCCAAUUUGCGACCCAAUUACAAAAGUUUCUUGCAAAAGUGAAAUGCUAGUAAUAAAGUUUUGGAAAGUUGUACAAACUAACCACAAAUUCUUUUGCGCGGGAGAAUGGAAUUACUUUUGAAAUCACUUUUCAAUUGCAUAAAAAGUAAUUGGAUAAUCUAUAAUAACCGACAAAAAAAGAAGAAUGAAGAUAAAGCAACGAUGAGUGAAGGAAAAAAAAUAAAAGAUGUAUCUUUUGUAAUCCAAGGAACAAUUUAAAUUCAUAUACAUUAUCUAUUUCUAUUAUAUUCUCAUAUUUUACAUGCACAUUUAUAAAUCCAUUUACCUUUUGCGCAAUCUCUUGUUUCAAAGGGAAGAAGAGAGUCUUCUUUUGGAAAGAAGGCAAAGGGGGAGAAAAAUCCGAACGAAAACGGAAGCGAUUAAUUCUCCUCUGAAUCGAGACGCGUCAAGAAACGAAAGAGAAAAAGGCCGCGAGUCUAACGCGGGAUAAUCACUAUGAUUGCUUAAUUAGCUGUGGCCAGUGGGGCAAAGUGAGUGCACAGAGAGCGAACAGAAUCAUCCCUUGCUCCGGUUAGGAACUACGGCUGGCUAGUCGUCCUAACCAGGCGAGCAAGUCCAAGGUUGUCGAGGCUCUGAUGCAACGCGAGCCGUCAUCAUCAUCGGCAAAGUGGGAGGCGGAUGGAGGUGGAACGGCGGUGGGGCAUCAUACGCGCUCACCGGAGAAGCAAUUGGAGCUGUGGCGAGGAGAGGAAUCGAAUUUUCGAGCCUUAAACGGAGGAAACUUUGAAAUUUUGCGAAUGGAAACGAUCAUCACCUAUUGCGCCCUUUGAAUUGCGAAAAGUUGUGAAAUUUGGAAAAUGGAAAACGAUGGAGGAAAUUUUGAGAUAUAAAGAGAGAGAGAGAGAGACUUGCAAGUUUGAUAAAUUAUCAAAAUGUGAAUAUGAAUUUAGAAAUCGUGAUAAUAAGUUCUAAAGAAAAUUGAACAAGAAAAAAAAAACUUGCAAGUUUUAUCGUAAAUGCAACAAACUGUGUGUGGUUACAAAGUACUUCGAAAAAUUAAAAUUAGAAGAGCGAAUUGUUUUAUUUGGAACAGCAAAUGUUGCAUUUUGUGAGGAAGGAAAUUUGAAUUUUUAUAAUCUUAAUAACUGUGAUGAGAAGAGGAGGAGAUAAAAAUGGCGGAAGUGAGAGAAAGUAAUAAAAGACGAGUAGCGAGCAACUUAAGAGAGAUUAUCCUCCAAGAUUGUUUUAUCAUACGUCUACGGCACAUUAAAUGAUGAUCUCAAGUUUUUCGAGCUGCUCACGUGUAACGCGCGACACUUAAUCGGUCGAUGACGUCUAUUACAUGGAAACAUGGGUUGGUUCUUAAUCGAUUAAGACUAAGAUGGCAACUAAUAUGCGACAGAAAUGAUUGAUGUACUCGAUGGCAAUCGUUUUGCCAUUUUUUUUUUCGUACAAACUUUUUUGAAUCCAAUUAAAUGUAAGAGAGAGAGAGAGAAAAAAA